GUAAAUGCGCCGCCAUUUUGCCGGCGUGGGAGGGGUGGUAGCGGCGGAGUAUUGCUUGUCGGUCCGGCGUUGAGGUGGUGGGAAGUGGUCGUGCUCUGGUGGUUUUGGCUCUCCCACGUACCUUUCAUGCUUAGAGGUGCGGAGCUGCUAUUAUAAGGGCUGAGGCUUCUAAGAAGUAUGUUCUGAAAGUAUAAGCCAUAUCUGGUAUAAAAGCUGAAGAUGUCCUUGCCCAUGGCAGGGGG
Molecule: long non-coding RNA, 242 nt
Organism: Cygnus olor (mute swan)
Lineage: Eukaryota; Metazoa; Chordata; Aves; Anseriformes; Anatidae
Exons: 3
Source: RefSeq, a predicted model, not a curated record